This 707-nucleotide ribosomal RNA is filed under the name uncultured Gammaproteobacteria bacterium. RNAcentral describes it as "bacterial SSU rRNA". It matches the Rfam family "Bacterial small subunit ribosomal RNA", at positions 67 to 763 of the family's 1533-position model. Lineage: Bacteria; Pseudomonadati; Pseudomonadota; Gammaproteobacteria. The record is from RNAcentral.
CGGCAGCACAGCAGUAGCAAUACUGUGGGUGGCGAGUGGCGGACGGGUGAGUAAUGCAUCGGGACCUACCUAGACGUGGGGGAUAACGUAGGGAAACUUACGCUAAUACCGCAUACGUCCUACGGGAGAAAGCAGGGGACCUUCGGGCCUUGCGCGGUUAGACGGACCGAUGUUCGAUUAGCUAGUUGGUAGGGUAAUGGCCUACCAAGGCGACGAUCGAUAGCUGGUCUGAGAGGAUGAUCAGCCACACUGGAACUGAGACACGGUCCAGACUCCUACGGGAGGCAGCAGUGGGGAAUAUUGGACAAUGGGCGCAAGCCUGAUCCAGCAAUGCCGCGUGUGUGAAGAAGGCCUUCGGGUUGUAAAGCACUUUUAUCAGGAGCGAAACGCUGUCGGCUAAUACCCGGCGGAACUGACGGUACCUGAGGAAUAAGCACCGGCUAACUUCGUGCCAGCAGCCGCGGUAAUACGAAGGGUGCAAGCGUUAAUCGGAAUUACUGGGCGUAAAGCGUGCGUAGGCGGUUUGUUAAGUCUGUUGUGAAAUCCCCGGGCUCAACCUGGGAAUGGCAAUGGAUACUGGCAAGCUAGAGUGUGAUAGAGGAUGGUGGAAUUCCCGGUGUAGCGGUGAAAUGCGUAGAGAUCGGGAGGAACAUCAGUGGCGAAGGCGGCCAUCUGGAUCAACACUGACGCUGAGGCACGAAAGCGUG